Molecule: ribosomal RNA, 397 nt
Filed under: Leptostylis sp. ICE1-Dia012
Lineage: Eukaryota; Metazoa; Arthropoda; Malacostraca; Cumacea; Diastylidae
Description: partial 16S ribosomal RNA
Source: RNAcentral
UCGCCUGUUUAUCAAAAACAYGUUUUUUUGAUAAAUUAAAAAAUCGUACCUGCUCACUGAAAACAUUAAAGAGCUGCAGUAUCUUAACUGUGCAAAGGUAGCAUAAUACAUUGUCUCUUAAUUAGAGGCUUGAAUGAAAGGUUUAACAAUAUAAUAACUGUCUCAGAUAUUUAUGAAAAAUUAAUUUUUAGUAAAAACUCUAAAAUAUAAUUAAAAGACGAUAAGACCCUAUAAAAUUUUACUCCUUUUUUAAUGAAAAGAUAAAAUAUUUUAUAGAAGAUAAAUUGGGGCGAUUUUUAUAAAUAAAAAAACUGUAAAAUUUUUUAUCCACUUUAAGUGAUUAAAGAUGACCUGGGUUUCCUCCAAUUAAUAAAUCAAAUUACUUUAGGGAUAACAG